UAAAAACUUUGAUUUUUUUAAAAAUAUAUAUUAGAAGAUAUAAAUAAGUAGAGAGAUAACAAUAGAAAGGUAGAAAUAAGAUGAAAAAUAAAGGAGAUACCCAACGGAAAAAUAAAGAGAGAAAGGAUAGAGAGAUUGUACUAGGAAUUUAUACAUAUUUGGUCUAACCACUUGAUCUAAUCCUUUUCCCAAAAGUUUCCUCUUGAGUGUUUCACUAAAAUAAAAUAUGAGCUCUUACAUGAUAAUCCCAUAAAACUUCAAAAACACUUAGAGCUUUUACUUAGGACUAACCCAUAAACCUUUAACAACAUACAUAGGUUUUAUACAUGCUUAGUUCAAGAACCUUCAUCAAAUCUUUUUUUCUUCAGGUUUAGCUUUCAAUCUUUAAAUUAUUUACAAAUAUAUUACAAAAGAGAAUCACACUCUUGAAUAAAAUAUAUUAAGCAUAACACCAAUACAACACAACUCUCACAAUGACUUUUCAUUCUUUCAACACUAUGACUCAAUUCAAGUGGAUAUUUUUUUUUAGAAAGAAAGAGAGUAGAAAAAUAUUCGAGGUUUCUAUUCUAU
RNAcentral lists this long non-coding RNA (570 nucleotides) under Lathyrus oleraceus (garden pea). RNAcentral's name for it is "Pisum sativum (pea) long non-coding RNA (PSAT_LNC023327)". Lineage: Eukaryota; Viridiplantae; Streptophyta; Magnoliopsida; Fabales; Fabaceae. The record is from RNAcentral.